RNAcentral lists this transfer RNA (76 nucleotides) under Stackebrandtia albiflava. Its description in RNAcentral is "tRNA-Arg". It matches the Rfam family "tRNA". Rfam says of the family: Transfer RNA (tRNA) molecules are approximately 80 nucleotides in length. Their secondary structure includes four short double-helical elements and three loops (D, anti-codon, and T loops). The record is from RNAcentral. Lineage: Bacteria; Bacillati; Actinomycetota; Actinomycetes; Glycomycetales; Glycomycetaceae.
GCCCUCUUAGCUCAGGGGAUAGAGCAAUGGUUUCCUAAACCAUGUGUCGCAGGUUCGAAUCCUGCAGGGGGCACCU